CCUACGGGAGGCAGCAGUGGGGAAUAUUGGACAAUGGGCGAAAGCCUGAUCCAGCAAUGCCGCGUGUGUGAAGAAGGCCUGCGGGUUGUAAAGCACUUUCAGUUGGGAAGAAGACUUAGAGGUUAAGAGCUAUUAAGUUUGACAUUACCUUCAGAAGAAGCACCGGCUAACUCUGUGCCAGCAGCCGCGGUAAUACAGAGGGUGCGAGCGUUAAUCGGAAUAACUGGGCGUAAAGGGUGCGUAGGCGGAACGCUAAGUCAGAUGUGAAAUCCCCGGGCUCAACCUGGGAACUGCAUUUGAAACUGGCGAUCUAGAGCAGAGGAGAGGAGAGUAGAAUUUCAGGUGUAGCAGUGAAAUGCGUAGAUAUCUGAAGGAAUACCGGUGGCGAAGGCGGCUCUCUGGUCUCAUGCUGACGCUGAGGCACGACAGCGUGGGGAGCAAACAGGAUUAGAUACCCUGGUAGUCCACGCCGUAAACGAUGAUAACUAGAUGUCAGAGCUAUUAAGGCUUUGGUAUCGAAGCUAACGCAUUAAGUUAUCCGCCUGGGAAGUACGGCCGCAAGGUUGAAACUCAAAUGAAUUGACGG
Molecule: ribosomal RNA, 586 nt
Filed under: uncultured bacterium
Lineage: Bacteria
Description: bacterial SSU rRNA
Rfam family: Bacterial small subunit ribosomal RNA
Source: RNAcentral